Molecule: non-coding RNA, 7138 nt
Organism: Vicugna pacos (alpaca)
Lineage: Eukaryota; Metazoa; Chordata; Mammalia; Artiodactyla; Camelidae
Source: RefSeq, a predicted model, not a curated record
AAAGAAGUUCUACUGUGGGUAAAAUGCUAUCAAACAGCAUUGCCUGCUACAGAGAAAUCGUUCAUGAAAGGAAGAGUCACUUGAUGUGGCAAACUUCGUUGUUGUCUUAUUUUAAGAAAUUGCCAGAAACACCCCAGCCUCCAGCAACCACCACGCUGAUCAGUCAACAGCCAUCAACCUCGAGGCCAGACACACCACCAGCAAAAAGAUUACGACUCACUGAAGGCUCAGAUGAUGGUUAGUGCAUUUUCAGCAAUAAAGUAUUUUUAAGUUAGGGUAUGUACACUUUUCAGAGACAUAAUGCUAUUACACAUUUAAUGGACUGCAGUACAGUACAAUGUAGGCAUAAUUUUUGUAUGCACUGGGAAACCAAAAAACUUGUGAGCCUUGUGAUAUUCACUUUAUUGCAGUGGUCUGGAACCAAACCCUUAAAAUAUAUCCGUGUAGACGUGUCAUUGUCUUUAGUUGGAUCGCUCUCUCCCUUUGUUCUUCUUUCCCUCCAUUUAAAAACGAUGUAAAUUAUGUACAUACCAAAGGCUGUGUAAUCCUAAAAUGAGCCCUUCUGCUGACCUAAAAUCUCAAACAUUACCAAUAUUGUUAGAACAACCUAUGUGCUGCUUACCAUCCAUCUUAUCUCCUUGAUCUCCAACCAGGGGUAUCUGCCAUCGCAGUCUCAUGCUUCUCUCUCCUUUUAUUUGGUGUCUUGCUGCAUUUGUACAUAUAUAUGAACAAAGGUACUGUUUACCAUGCUUGUUUUUGAGAUUUAUAAAUGUGAAUCAUGUUAUGUUUUUUAAUCUGUCUUGGCUUUUUUAUUCAUCACUAUGUGUGCAAAUUUUAUUAUUUUAUAUGGCUAUAGUUUAUUGUGACUUCUAUAGAAUAGCUCACUGUGUGAAUGUAACAGGAUAUAUUUAUCCAUUAUCUUGUCAGUGGACAUUUAGAUUGUUUUCACUUUUUGGUAUUAUGAACAUUGCUGCAGUGAACAUCCUGCAUGUUUCUUGGUGCACAUGAGUUAAAAAGUCUGAGGGUAUAUACCUAAAUGUGGAACUGCUGAAUUAGAAUAUUGCAAAUGCCCAGAUUUAUGAAAUAAUGCCCAAAUGGUUCAAAAUGGCUGUCUCAGUUUAUACUCCCACUGCAUCAUUAACAACUUGGUGUUACCAGACUUACUAAUCUCUGCCAGUGUGAAUGAAAAUCUGUGUUAAAAUUAAAUUGUGGCUUUAAUUUGCACUCUUCUAAUAGCCAUUUUGGCUUAGUAUGUUUUCCUAUUUUUUAUUUACCUUUUGUGUUUUCUGUGAAAAGCCUAUUCAAGUUUGUUUCUCAAAUUUCUGUUGGGCUGUUUGUCUUCUUUUUGAGCAAUGAUAGUUCCUUAUGGUUUCUGAAUAUAGAUUCUUUAUUGUCUAUAUGUUACCCACAUUACCAAUUUUUGGCUGGUCUUUUUCAUGAUAUUUUGAGAAUAAAGUCCUUAAUUUUAAGAAAGCAUUUCCUAAUCUGAGGUUAUUAAGCUAGCUUCCUUUUUACUUCCAAAAUUUGUAGAAGUUUGCAUUUCACAACUAAGUCUUUGAAUAAUAAGAAAUGGAUGUUUUGUAUGUGAUGUGAGGCAGGGGUCUGAUUUCUUCCCCAUGUGGGUAACCGUUGUCCAAGCACUACAUACUGAAAAGUGUAUCUCGUUCUCCCUGAGCUGUGGUGCCACCUCUGAUACACAGUAAAUCUCUAUAGAUAAACGAGCCCAUUUUGGACUUUCUACUCUGGUUUGUUCUUGCAUUAAUUGCUAUAGCUUCAUGAUAAGGCAUGAUAUUUGGGAUGGCAUGUGCCCCCCCGCAACAGUUCACUUCUUUAGAAGUUUCUUUAGAAGCUUUGUGGCUAGUCUUGGCCUUUGUUGUUUAACAAAUUUUAGAAUUAGAGUGUCAAAUUUAUUGAUUAAACCUGUUGAGAGUUUUGAUCAGAACUAUAUGGAAUCUAUAGUUCAGUUUGAGAAGUGACUUUUUUUGUGAUUUGAAUCUUCUCAUUCAUGAACACAGUUUAUCACUCCAUUUAUUUAGGGCCCUUUCAAAAUCUUCUAAGAUUUUAUAAUUUUCUGCUUAUAGGACCUCCACAUUUUUUGUUAGAUUUAUUUCUAAUUACUUCAUUUUUUUGAUUACUGAUACCUUUGUUGAUAUAUGACACUUUUUAAAAAUUAACGUUUUCUAAUUGUUGGUGGUAUAUUAAAAUGCAAUUGAUUUUUGUGAAUUGACUUUAUAACCACUUACCUUAAUAAGUUCUUUUAUUUUAAAUAGCAUACCAGUAGAUGCUUUGGAGUUUCCUAUGUAGAACUUCAUAUCAUUUACAAAUAAUUUUUAUUACUUCCUUUCCAAGUGUGAUGAACAGGAUCAGUUAUCGUGGGGAUCCUUGUCUUGUUCCAGAUUUUAAAGGGAAUGUUUCUAACAUUUCCCCAUCAGGAGAGAUGUUUGAUGUACAUCUGUUAUCAGGUUAAAGAAACUUCAAUCUAUUCUUCAUCUCUUAAGAGAGUCUUACAGCUAUUUUAGUUUACCAGAUGUUUUCUGCAUCUUUUGAGGCGAUCAUACAGCCUUUCUCUUGUUAAAACCAUACAUAUACAUACACAUACAUAUAUGCACAUAUAUACACACAUGCAUAUACACACGUACAUACAUAUGAGUUCUAUGUAUAUAAUUAAAUUAAAUUAUGCAUUCCUGGGAUAAACCCAAUACAGUCACUAGAUUUAAUUGGCUAAUAUUUUACUUAAUAUUUUCACAUGCAUGUUUAUGAGUGAGAACAGGCCAUAAGCUUCCUCUUCUGUAUUAGCCUUAUUUAAUUUGUUAUCAAGGCCAAUAUGUUUCUUGAGAUGAGCUGGGGAGCUUUCCCUCUUUUGUGUUUCUAUUUUCAUUUUUGAAAGAGUUUGUAUAAGUGUGGAAUGAUCUGUUUCUUGAAAAAUGUGUGUAAGUAGCCUUUAUCACCUCUGGCCUUGGUGUUUCUUUGUGGGAAGGUUUUACCCUGAUGAUUAAAUUUCUGCCCUAGUUACAGGUCUUUUCAAACCUUCUAUUUCAUCUUGAGUCAUUUUUGGAAAUUGCAUUUUCUAGGAAUUUUGUCAAUUUAUUUGCAUUCUUUGUUUCUUGACACCAUCUUAAGUUGGAUGUUUAAGGCAUUAAUUUUAGCCUAUCUUCUUUUUAAGUAAAACUUUAAUGCCAUAAGUAGCACCAAGUAUCACGUUUGCUUCAUCUCACUAGUUUUGAAAUGUAGUUUUUUCAUUAUCAGUCAUUUGAUUAUUCAUUUAUAUCCAUUAUGGUAUUUUUCUUUGAAAAAUGAGGUCCUUCAGUAUAUUUUAAAAUGUCCAAAUGCAUGGGAACUUUUCUCCAUCUUUUUAUUGUUGAUUUCUAAGUUAAUUCCAUUAUGGCUAGAUAACAUCAUCUGAAUGACACUAGUUGUCUGAAAUUUAAUGCAAUUAGCAUAAUCCAGUAUGUGGUUAAUAUGUGCUUCAAAAGAAUGUGUCUUCUUUCCUUAUUUGAUUCAGACUUUUAUAUCUACCCAACAAAUUAAGCUUGUUGAAUGUGUUACUAAAAUUCCCCAUGUUUACUUUUUUUCUGAUUGACCAGUGAUCGAGAGAAAGAUGUCUAAAUCUCACCGUUAGUGGAUUUGCCAAUUUUUCCCCUGUAGUUUUAUUAGUUGUGUGUGUGUACAUAACACACAAACACACAUAAUUGUACAACAUAUCCAUAAAGGGGGGGCAGAGAUUGUUAUUAAAGGCAUACACAUGAAAAAUUUUUAUGUCCUCGGUGAAUUGAAACUUUUUUGUCAUGUAGAGCUCUUUGUAUCCUGAAUAAUGCUUAUUUCUUAAAACGUAUCUUAAAAUGUAUUUUGUUUGAAGUAUGACUAUAUUAACUUUUAAUAAGUGCUUGCCUGGUAGAUACGUCACCUUUAAUUUUAAUUUUUUUUUUUUUAAUGGCAGUACUGGGAAUUGAACCCAGGAGCAUGCACUCCUCUGACCUAUACCCACCCGUUACUUUUAGUUUUCCUAUACCUUAAGUUUAGAUAUUCUUCUCAUAAAUGACAUAUAACUAGACUUUGAUGAUUCAUUGUGACAAUCCCUGAUGUUUCGCUGGAAAGUUCAGUGUGGUUAGAGUUAAUCUUCCAGUUUUCCUAUGGGUAUCUUUUCUCCUUUAUUAUCUUUUUUUACCUUUGGAGAUAUGAGAUCUGCUUUUCUGUUUAUUUUCCUAUUUUAUUUUUUCUUACUCCAUUUUUUUUCUAUUGGUGAUCACAUUGAAAUUUUACCUUUGUGACAUUGUGAUUUAUAGGACAAAUAUAUAGUCUUCAUCCACAGUUCCUGGACCACAGCCCCCAAAAUCUUUGGAAUUUCCUGAGUGAGAUGGGGUAAUACUUGGUCCCUUGUCCUCAGUUUCUGAAACCACUCUCAGGUAGGGACUGUCCCUUUUAUUCUGAUGAGUGGGGCGGAGGAAAAGGGGGCACUGGGGAAGGUUUCUGCUGCGGGAAGAGCACUGUUGACAUGUCUAGGAAGAGACCCUUGUGACAUUCGAAUUCUAAGUCAUUCGAAGGAGAAGGCUCCGUAAGACACGGUUUCUACAAACACACGGCGCAUCUGCAUAUAGGAUGUUCCUGUGGGAUGGCUCACUUUAGAACAGAGGUCCUGUUCAGCGCGAUGCACACACCAGUCAAAUCUAUCCUCCACAGAGUGUAAGCACUGGGACUGGUGUGGCUUUAUCGGCUGCUGACUGUUCACCCCUCCCGGGGGCUUGGCUGCACAGCACUGCACUUUCUUUCAGAGGGCUCCUUGAGAAGAGAGGAAUAAUGAAAACAAAUGUAUUUUGGCUAAAAGGAACAUUCUACCACUUCUUAAACGGGGAAGUUGUACCCACGGACACUUUGGACAGGAAAAGACAGCUGGGAAAGCUGAAAGGUGCACAUGCUCUCCGGGGAAGGGAGAGUCCUGGGGGACAGAGCCGACAUCUGUGGCUUUGCUACUCAUGGGAGCAGCUGGUGUGCUGUGCGGGCGGCUGAUUGCUAACUGUCAAUCAGAAAUAUUCCCUUUAAAUAAUCCCACAAAUCUACCAGAAUGGAGGCUUUACGUAAGAACCCCUCACGCGCCCUGAGGAGAUCUAGGAUGGUCUUGUCCCAACAGCGACUUUCCCAGGAACACCUCCGCACUUUGGAGCAGCUGGGUAACCGUGGAGGUGAAACAGACUGUAAUUCCUCCCACGCUCUGUUGUGCUUCCUGGUGAAGGGAACGCUGUGACAUCUGGGAUCGGCUCCACUGGAAUUUCCUGAUUAUGUCUCUGGUGACAGGACACAGAAUGCUUUGAUUUGUCUCAGAAUUUUCGCUGGGCAAAUUGCUAACACACAGAGAUGACAUGAAGCCUUGACUACCUGAGCCUUCCCAAAUGGUUUGGGUUUAACUUUUUAAGUUAUUAUUUCAAGUCAGGUGUGGAGGAAACAUAUUUUAGAGUGAAUCUGAUUCCCGUCUCCAAGCUGAAAGUUUUCUUUGGAAAAUUCGCUUCAUCAGGUUCAGGACUGGACAGCAAGCCUUUCUCCGGGGCUGGGGGUCAGCUCUUCCAGGUCUGAGGCUGUCACAGGAGAAGCACCUGUGCGUCCCAGGGGACUGGAAACAGUGCCCACUGCUGGGGCAGGAGCUUGCUUCUCGGUGUAACAGGAGGUCACGGCCACUAGAUGGAGACAUCCCUUCGUAGACUUUAUCUGGCCAAGUCUCCUCCCAGCGUCGUGCACGACGCAGCUGGCGGGGGCUGAUUCCAGGACUAUGGCUCCCACCGCUGCUGCCGAGAGCCAGGCCCGCUCCCCUGAGCUUCUGCAAAGGCCAGCGUUGUUUCCUCAAGCACUCUCCCCAAACUGCUACACUGAAUCCUUUGGUGCAAGAGAUGGCAAAUGGACAAACGUGUUUUCUUUCACUCGUUAUACAGUUAUUAGAUAUUUGUUCGAAUGUGUAACGGAAAAAAUGUAACAAAUACAUUCAGCCCGUGACGUUAGUAGUUUUACUUAAGGAUACUUCUUUUUGAAAAGGAUCACACUUAAAAUUAGAUUAAAGAAAAUCGUUUAGUAGCUAGCAUGCACAAGGGCCGUGUGAAAACGGCAAGGCUGCGGGGCGCUGGGCCUCGGCUGAGGUCUGGGAAGGGGGCUGGCUGAACUGCUGCGGGGAGAGUUGGUAAAAGUCCCUGCACCGCGGCCGUGCUGGAAACUCCAUUUCCAGGAACAAACUGUCAUCUCACGAACGGUUUGGAGGCCUCCGCCUGCUGACCAGCAGGGAGUGAUCCCAGUCCGCUUGUCUUCCCCCAGCCUCUGAAGCAGGAGGCCUCUGAUUUGCUCUGCGCUCUUGGGUGGCUGUGUAGGUUCAAGAACCUGGAACCCUCUCAUGCUGGAGACGCAGCCAGGAAGCCACCCUCUGUGGAGUUAGAGGCCCACGGUGUGCAUGUUGCGUUGUCUGUUCCAUGUACCCAAUAGGAGCAGAUGGGCUGGGGGAGGGGGAGGAUCUUUGGGGGCAAACGGCGAUUUGUGGGGCUUAGCUAACAAUUUUGAAACCCAGAAAUCAGGAUUUGGGGAAUAAACUUGAGUAGGGAGUCACUCCGUGCCCUCCAACCUCUUCCUGCUCCUGGUCCCACCUUCCCCUCCACUGUCCUCAAGGAAUGCUCACCUCAGCGUCUUAUUUUAUUUAGUGACAAGCCUGUGAGGGGAGAGGUCAUAUUGCCCUGUUUUCUAGGUGAGGAACCUGACGUUCAGAGCAGCUGAGUAACUAGUUGGUUACUGGAGAAAAGGCAUCUGAAUUCUGGUUUCUAACCCCAGGUCUUCUUUCAAUAUGUUCUACUUUUUCGGGAUUACGAUGCCCCGCAUGAAAAUUGCACAGACAUGUACUUUAGUCACCUUCUAUUUUAAAUGCCAGCUUUUUCGUGGGGAAAACAAUUGGAGUGAAGACCCCGGAGACACAGAAUUCACCCACAUCAUGAAGUGUUGCAGUUUGGAGGGCACAGAUUUGUGUAAUAACAAAUUGCCUCGUGGGGACAGAUUGUGGCGUCGCACAACCAUACUGCAUCAGCGGGUGUUUUUCCUGUUAAUUGGUUUAGAAUGCGUGGGGGGACAUACGAUGCAUUCAGCAGUUUUGUUGAGAAAAUAAUAAAUUAGAUAUUAA